Molecule: ribosomal RNA, 253 nt
Filed under: uncultured bacterium
Lineage: Bacteria
Description: partial 16S ribosomal RNA
Rfam family: Bacterial small subunit ribosomal RNA
Source: RNAcentral
UACAGAGGGGGCAAGCGUUGUUCGGAAUUACUGGGCGUAAAGGGCGCGUAGGCGGCCGCCUAAGUCAGACGUGAAAUCCCUCGGCUCAACCGGGGAACUGCGUCUGAUACUGGGUGGCUUGAAUCCGGGAGAGGGAUGCGGAAUUCCAGGUGUAGCGGUGAAAUGCGUAGAUAUCUGGAGGAACACCGGUGGCGAAGGCGGCAUCCUGGACCGGCACUGACGCUGAUGAGCGAAAGCCAGGGGAGCAAACGGG